GAUGAACGCUGGCGGCGUGCCUAAUACAUGCAAGUCGAGCGAACAGACGAGGAGCUUGCUCCUCUGACGUUAGCGGCGGACGGGUGAGUAACACGUGGAUAACCUACCUAUAAGACUGGGAUAACUUCGGGAAACCGGAUCUAAUACCGGAUAAUAUAUUGAACCGCAUGGUUCAAUAGUGAAAGACGGUUUUGCUGUCACUUAUAGAUGGAUCCGCGCCGCAUUAGCUAGUUGGUAAGGUAACGGCUUACCAAGGCAACGAUGCGGAGCCGACCUGAGAGGGUGAUCGGCCACACUGGAACUGAGACACGGUCCAGACUCCUACUGGAGGCAGCAGUAGGGAAUCUUCCGCAAUGGGCGAAAGCCUGACGGAGCAACGCCGCGUGAGUGAUGAAGGUCUUCGGAUCGUAAAACUCUGUUAUUAGGGAAGAACAAAUGUGUAAGUAACUAUGCACGUCUUGACGGUACCUAAUCAGAAAGCCACGGCUAACUACGUG
This 497-nucleotide ribosomal RNA is filed under the name uncultured bacterium. RNAcentral's name for it is "partial 16S ribosomal RNA". It matches the Rfam family "Bacterial small subunit ribosomal RNA", at positions 28 to 507 of the family's 1533-position model. The record is from RNAcentral.